GGACUUCCCUCUGUGGACAUAAGAGGCCCUCUGUGACACGCGGUCAUUGCUCCAGACGUGUGAUGGCUCAUUAUGGGGUCAGGAUUGUAAAAAGAGGCAAUGCAGUGUUUGUCGCAGGCUCAAACGAGGGGUACCAGCAGGGAGAAGUCUGAGGAGACGCUCAGAGCGGUAAAAGCCUCAAGGCCCCGUGACGAAGAACUUCUGAAGGGUGACAUGCUCAGUGUGGAGGAGACACGGUUCAGAGGACAAUAAAGCUGCCUUUACUUCAGAAGAGCUGUCACAUGGGAACCAGCACAGGCCUCUUCUGGGCGGCCCCGCAGCCUAGAACCACAGCUGGUAUGAGAAAUCAUAGGGAGAGAUUUCUGCUCAGAGGAAGAAGUCUCUGGCAGCCAGCAUCUUCCAAAGCCCUGUACAGCCUAUGAAACAUUUUCACACAGUGCCUCACCCACAACUCUGGGAGUGUUUACUGAACAGAUUCAAUGCUCCAGUCACUGUGACAAUCAGCUGGGAUGCCAAGAUGCAUAAUACACAGUCUUGCCUUCAAGGAGUUGCCGGUCAGGCUGGGAAAUACAGAAAUGUUCAAGAACAAAUCACAAAGUGUAUCAAUAGUGCAAAAAUAAAAAGGUAUAUAAUGGAGAUUGCUCAGAGAUCCGGGGUGAUUAAUUCAGGCAGAGGAGUGGGA
This 682-nucleotide long non-coding RNA is filed under the name Equus asinus (donkey). Its description in RNAcentral is "lncRNA (ENSEASG00005024581.1)". Lineage: Eukaryota; Metazoa; Chordata; Mammalia; Perissodactyla; Equidae. The record is from RNAcentral.